RNAcentral lists this ribosomal RNA (466 nucleotides) under uncultured bacterium. RNAcentral describes it as "bacterial SSU rRNA". It matches the Rfam family "Bacterial small subunit ribosomal RNA", at positions 1019 to 1482 of the family's 1533-position model. The record is from RNAcentral.
CGGGAAGACGGAAAGACAGGUGGUGCAUGGUUGUCGUCAGCUCGUGUCGUGAGAUGUUGGGUUAAGUCCCACAACGAGCGCAACCCUUGUCCUUAUUUGCCAGCCUGUUUAUAGGCGUACUUUAAGGAGACUGCCGUAGAUAAUACGGAGGAAGGUGGGGAUGACGUCAAAUCCUCAUGCCCCUUACGUCCCGGGCUACACACGUGCUACAAUGGUCUGUACAGAGGGUUGCUAAGAAGCAAUUCGGAGCCAAUCCCAAAAAGCAGGCCCCAGUUCGGAUUGGAGGCUGCAACUCGCCUCUAUGAAGUCGGAAUCGCUAGUAAUCGCGGAUCAGCACGCCGCGGUGAAUCCGUUCCCGGGCCUUGUACACACCGCCCGUCACACCACGAAAGUUGGCGGUACCUGAAGUUACUGUACCAACCCUUAGGGGAGGAAGGUACCGAGGGUAUGGUUAGCGAUUGGGGUG